CCGACCUUAGCUCAGUUGGAAGAGCAUCAGACUGUAAUGGGUUACCUAAGCAAGUCAUCUGGGGGUCGCCUGUUCGAACCAGGCAGGUCGGA
Coprinopsis cinerea okayama7#130 is the source of this 92-nucleotide transfer RNA. It matches the Rfam family "tRNA". From Rfam's summary of the family: Transfer RNA (tRNA) molecules are approximately 80 nucleotides in length. Their secondary structure includes four short double-helical elements and three loops (D, anti-codon, and T loops). The record is from Rfam. NCBI's taxonomy places the organism in Eukaryota, Fungi, Basidiomycota, Agaricomycetes, Agaricales, Psathyrellaceae.